UUUCCGUAGGUGAACCUGCGGAAGGAUCAUUAUCGAGUUUUGACCGGGUUGUAGCUGGCCUUCCGAGGCAUGUGCACGCCCUGCUCAUCCACUCUACACCUGUGCACUUACUGUGGGCUUCAGAUUGCGAGGCACGCUCUUUACCGGGCUUGCGGAGCAUAUCUGUGCCUGCGUUUAUCACAAACUCUAUAAAGUAACAGAAUGUGUAUUGUGAUGUAACACAUUUAUAUACAACUUUCAGCAACGGAUCUCUUGGCUCUCGCAUCGAUGAAGAACGCAGCGAAAUGCGAUAAGUAAUGUGAAUUGCAGAAUUCAGUGAAUCAUCGAAUCUUUGAACGCACCUUGCGCUCCUUGGUAUUCCGAGGAGCAUGCCUGUUUGAGUGUCAUGAAAUCUUCAACCUACAAGCUUUUGUGGUUUGUAGGCUUGGACUUGGAGGCUUGUCGGCCGUUAUCGGUCGGCUCCUCUUAAAUGCAUUAGCUUGGUUCCUUGCGGAUCGGCUCUCGGUGUGAUAAUGUCUACGCCGCGACCGUGAAGCGUUUGGCGAGCUUCUAACCGUCUUAUAAGACAGCUUUAUGACCUCUGACCUCAAAUCAGGUAGGACUACCCGCUGAACUUAA
Molecule: ribosomal RNA, 618 nt
Filed under: Ganoderma lucidum/Ganoderma lucidum fusant
Lineage: Eukaryota; Fungi; Basidiomycota; Agaricomycetes; Polyporales; Polyporaceae
Description: eukaryotic LSU rRNA
Rfam family: 5.8S ribosomal RNA (bases 233-386)
Source: RNAcentral